CCCUUAGAUGUCCGGGGCUGCACGCGCGCUACACUGAAGGAAUCAGCGUGCUAAAACCAUUGUCGAAAGGCAUUGGUAAACCCAUUAAAAUCCUACGUGAUUGGGAUCGGGAAUUGCAAUUAUUUCCCUUGAACGAGGAAUUCCCAGUAAGUGUGGGUCAUAAGCUCGCGUUGAUUACGUCCCUGCCCUUUGUACACACCGCCCGUCGCUGCCCGGGACUGAACCGUUUCGAGAAAAGCGGGGACUGCUGCUGUCGGGGCUUUCGGGCCUUGGCUUCGGUGGAAACCGCUUUAAUCGCAGUGGCUUGAACCGGGCAAAAGUCGUAACA
Molecule: ribosomal RNA, 328 nt
Filed under: uncultured eukaryote
Lineage: Eukaryota
Description: partial 18S ribosomal RNA
Rfam family: Eukaryotic small subunit ribosomal RNA
Source: RNAcentral